CACACAGGCACGCGGCAGUGGUGUUCCUCGCUCUGCGCAGCAAAUCCGCCGAGCUUUGUUAUGGUUAGUCCUCGAGGCAACCGAGCGCAUGCGCCAGGACACUCAUAACUAGCAUUCAAAUCUACAAAGCCUCGAGGUGCAUGCGAGCAGUCGAUUCCUGGAGCCUGCCUCGGGAACAGACUAUUCUGACUCCUAGCACCCUGCGCCCCUCGCACGCGUAAUGAGGAGUCGAAAACAACGCACGCGUAGGUCUGCAGCAACUGCACCAGUUGCUCGAGCUCUUCCCACUGCAGGAGCUCAGAACUGACAAGAACCCUGACCAAAGCAGCGACUUCAGCAAUCCCGUGUCACACCACAGCAGAAAUGGGGCACUGCCGUACGUCAGCGAUCUCUGACUCAAGUUGAUGGGUGAAGGAAUGCUGGCUGGUUUUAUGCUAAGAAAAAAGCCUCCACAAGUUCACAUUCAGUACAAUGGAAGGACAGAACCUGCCUGCACAAAUCUAUCCUACGCUGACCUAAGCAGAAGCAUUAGAGGUCAUAUAAAUGUUCCUUGUCUUAGUUACUGAAUCUGGUUUCUGUAAUCUGAAGACACAAUGAAGCAUCAGAAAUUCCUCCUGAAUUCUUCAACUGAGUUUAUGCUGCCAUACUUAUUCUAAAAUUCUGGAAAUCUUGUGAAGGCAAGAUGCAAGUGAGAUUUCCAGUAUAUGCAAGAACUGCAUCCAAGCCUUAUAUAUGGUAAGUGCAAUAUUUGCUAUGUUGAUUUAUUAUUAUUAUUAUUAUAAUUACUGUUGUUGUUGUCAUUGUUACUGUUAUUAUUGUUAGGUUGCUUGUUUUAGCAAAGACAUAAAGUGAAACAAGUAAGUAAGACAGGGAUCUCCUGGAAGGAGUCCAGUGGAGAGCCAUAAAGGUGAUAAAAGGCUUGAAGCACCUUCCUUAUGAGGAAAGGUUGAGCGACCUAGGGCUGUUCAGCCUUGAGAAAAAAAGACUCAGAGGGGAUCUGGUCAGUGCCUAUAAAUAUCUAAGGUGAGGAAAGCAAACAGACAAGGCUAGGCUCUUUUCAACAGUGCUUGGUGAUAAAACAAGGGGAGAUGGCCACAAACUGAAGCACAGGAUGUUCCACACACAUGUGCAUAAGAACUUCUUGACAGUAAGGGUAAUGGAGCAGUGGAACAGGCUGCCCAGAGAGUCUGUGGAGUCUCCUCUGGAAAUUUCAAGACACAACUUGAUGCCUAGCUGUGCAACCUGGUCAAGGGAGCAUGCUUUGGUAGGGAAGUUGGACUAGAUGAUCUCUAGAGGUUCCUUCCAGACCCUACAGUUCUGUGACUCUGUGAAAUAUGUGAGUUGGAGUUACAAUAACAGAAAGAGUUAGUGUUAGUUUUCUUAAGAUCAAAUACAAAUUUGAGAGAAUUGAGGGAGGUUGAGAACAUCAUUUUCCUAAUAUCAAUUUUCUCUGUUUAAAGGAAUGGUAAAUGUAUAUACAAAUGUUCUUAUACUGAGUCUUUGCUGAAAAUUUGAGCUACUUAAUACAAGUGCUGAAUUUGGUUUCUUCUUCACAGAAACUUUCCAUAUACUGACAUAUAAGAAUGCAUUACUCAGUGUAACAGGUACAGUAGUCGUUGUAUUCUUGAAUUAGUAGAGCUUGCUCAGAUUCAAUGAUUCCUUGAUAUUUAGCUAGCUUAAACAGAACUGAGAUAACAGGAAAAAAGAGAGCAUGAAGAAGUCAUCAGAAUUAUCUAGCUGUGAUUAGAAAAGAUACUUGCUUACAUUCCUGAAGUCAUCCCCUCAUUCUCAUGUUUACUGUCACUCUUUAAUUGUUUUUUAAUGUUUCGUUGAACAGUAUUGAAAUGAAUGGAAGUCCAAGUCCAGUUUUAACACUUCACAAGACGUUGUGUUGUUUUGUAUGCAUCGUGUAUUAUAUAUGUAUUAAAUUUCUCCAAGCUUGCCUGAAGAUUUACUAACUGUACUUAGAGGCAUGUUUUGUAUCACAGCAAUUUAAAAAAAUAAAUUAAAUAGAAAUUAUCUAUUAUGCUGUAUUAGUGGAUGUAGAAAUAUGAGUUCAUACCUUUCAUUUAACUGUUCUAAAAGCCUACUUCCAUUAUUCAGGGGACAAAUGGCCACUUCAGUUCUACCAAGAUCAUUCUACCAUCCAAUGUUCAACCUGCAUGAAGUCUAAUUAUCCAUGCAGCUAGAGAAAUGUGAAAAAGCUGAAGCACAGAUCUUCUACAUAACCUACUUUGCAGUAUUUACAAUAACAUGGACUAAAAAAUUAGAUUGGUACUCAUGUAAAGUUUAAUGUUUAUUGUAGUGUCUCUGCACUUGACAGUAGCUAAGUAAGCCCAUACAUCUAUUAUAUUUCUUUCAUGCUGCCCAUGUGUCCGGCCUCUGUGCCCAUCAGCAGUAAUGGUCCUCAGUGCUAUUACUGUAAUUCAAAGGCAUUAACCAGAAAUUAAAUGCAUAUUAGUUAUAUAGUACGAAAUUAUGUUAGCUGAUGUAUUAAAGGCUGCAAACCACAAUCUCAAUAGCAUUUUACAAGUACCAGUGUGACAGAUAAGAAACAUAAGAAUAGGUCUUUAGAAAUAUUGUGCCUGAAAACAAUUCUGAAAGCACACUGAUAUUUUGAAAGCAUUGUUGGCUAUCUGUCAUCAUGGUUUAUCAGUAACUGACUGUCCUCAAAUUCCAGACAGCUUGUCUAAUCAUCUCCUGGUUUACUUACAGAUUUCAAAUGCUCACCAUUCCUGAUACAAGCCAUUGGCUUUCUUGGCUACCUGGGCACACUGCUGGCUCAUAUUCAGCCAACUGUCCAUCAGCACACCAAGUGGAAACAUCAGUUUAUAAUGGCAGAGAUGUACAAGGAUACCUGUGAAGUGGCACAACAGAUGACACCUUUCAUGCAGGAAGAAGUGAGGGCAGCAUCAAAAGGGGAUAAGCUACCACUGAACUCUGAAGUUUAUGGGCUCCUGACUGUCCUUAUGGAUUGGAUCUUAGAUGAGCUCCUUAGCAAACUCAAGAAACAAGAAAGAGAGGACGGCCAGAAACCUCAGUGUAGCAGAAGAACCUACAUCCAGGAAAGUGUUUGAAGGUAAAGGGACUUGAGUUUGCUCUGGUUCAUGUGUUUUCAGAUUCACGUAUAGACUGACUGAUUUUAUUGUGAGAGUAGAAAAGGUCAGCCUGUUUUGUAUAGACCUGGGAUAGAGCAAUGAAAGCAGAAUGACAGUUACUAAGUCAGUAUUAAUCCCAGCAGUCAGAUGGAAUGGCUGCAUUGGCACUUAUAAAACAGAGCCGUCGUUUUGAAGGAGAAGUGUCGUGUUCAGUCUCAACUUGCAAGUUUCAGCCUGUCUUUUAUUACCUGUGGUUUUUGCCAGCUGGUGAUUUAUCUUGUAUGUUGUGUGUAACACUGUAUAGAAUUCAUGUUUUCCUACAGAGAUUCUCACACCUAAUUAAAAAUGUUUUAAUGUCUACGUUGGAUGUCAAAGUUUCAGAUAAUGACUCAUAACAGAUGAUGCUAUGCUCUACUGAAAGCCCUUCCUUCCAUCUCUCUGGGGAUAACAAGGCUUGGAAACCAAUGUGGUAUUCUUUAUUGCUUUCCUUCAUUCUGUGCAGUUUGUAGGCACUGGCAUUGGCCUUGAUAGAUGAGUUCACACACCGUACCUCUGCUUUGCAUGCAAACCUGAUUAAAACUUAAAAUCUAAGUAAGUAGGUAAUUCUUUUAUCUCUAGAGGACCUGACCAGUGAGUGUUCGCACAUGCAAUCUGACAAACUUCAGGAGUAAUUUGAGAUUUUGGUUUGUUUGGGUUUGGUUUUUGGAGUCUUGUUUUCACUUGUAGCCUGCUCACAUGCUAAGCUGACAUUCUGCAUGUAACUUCGCCUUUGUGUGUUUUUACAGCUUCUGCCUGUGGCUGCGGAGCAGCUCCAGUGCAUGUCGUUUGUGAAUCCUAAACUGCACAUGCCCCUGAUGAGACUGAUAUACUGGUUUGUAAGGCAGCUAGACAAUGAUACUAAGGUAAAUUCUCUGCAGAUAUUCAGGCAUUUUGUAUUUUAAGUACACAUAGAAAGUGGACAUUUUCAGGGUGUAUGUAUAAUAGAAACCUGGCUGUCUUUGCUAAACAUCAAUUUGUAACAGAGAAAUGGAAAAGUAUGGCAAAAAAAACUUCUCAUAAAUGGAACUUUCUGAGAUCAUUUUAUUGAUUUUUGCAUAGUCUAUGAAAACAUAUUUUUACGUACGUAUGCAAUCGCUGUUGCAGUAGUGUCUAAGCAUCUCAGGAAAUACAUUUUUAUAAAUAUGCUUAGCAGAGUUGGCAGUUAGGAAAGGAAACACAUUUUUGUUUACUUUAUGUGCGAGAUUAGCUGAAAUUGAUGGCAAAGUGUGGCAGAGCAGCAUGGGAACUUUGGCUUUGUCCUCUGCUUAAUGUCCCACUGAAUUCAUUGUUUUUCUUGACAAGGAGAAGCUAUUUUAAAUGAUCACAGUGUAAAGUUUGAUUCUGAAGUAAUAUUUCUGCACAGUUUGUGAUGAAAAUUUGAAUUACUGUACCUUCCCUGAAUGGCGUUCUGAACAUUCAUGUUUAGAUCUGCAAAUGCUUUUGCAGCUCGUGACUUCAGGCAUCUGCACAGGGCAACGUAGGUAGCACUGAUUGAAAUGGGGUUUCCUCUGCAAGCAGGGGCAGCUCAAAUAAAGUCAGCAUAUCACGGGCCCUCUUUCCCCAGUCUCUUUGUGCAGUUAGUGUUGAUAAGGCCCUGUGCUGAUGGCAUUCAGUUGCUUUUGUAAUGCAAGCAGUAUCUUCUGUGCAGAUUCUGUUGUGACACACGAUCGAACAAUUUGGUAUUUCACACGUAAUCCUUAGGGGAACAGAGUAGAUGGGAGCUUUGUGUGCUUUCAUGUUUACACUCAACAUGCACACUGCUUGAUUCAGGACCCAACAAUGACAGAAAUUAUUAUGAGACUUGCUGAAGAUAUUUUCACAGGCAUAAGGAAUAAUGGAGAUGUGCACAGUUCUUCCAGCCGCUGUGCAAAGAGUGAAUAAAAAUCAGCACUCUUUACAAGUCCUUUUAUGCCUAUGAGGUUUCUGUCAACUAUGGCUGUGCUUGCAAUAGAGACACCAGGUAAGCUCUGGGUUUUACUGAAUCUUUUCAUUAUGAUUCUAUGAUUCUGUGAUUAUUUUUUUUUAUUUUUUUUAUUUUUUUAUAUUUUUUUUAUCCCUUUUAGUUUUUCCUUUUAGUUUCUCUCAUCUGUAUUUUUUUUCCAGGCGUGUACCUGGACAAAGUCCAGCAGUUCCAUGAUACCAUAGUGUCCAUGAUGCUUUCCUAGUGAACAGAGUUUCACUUGCAUGAUACUUCCUUGUACAGCCAAAUGCACUGAAACAAAUAUGAACCUUGCUAUUAUUCACUUCAUGUUGUAAUUUCUGUGGCCAUUGUAAUACAAUUUAUUUUAAUCAGAGAGAUGGCCAACGUGAUAAAGGAGAACACAGAUGAUGGUAAUUGUUUCAAGCAGGUGCUACAGCAGUAGCCAAGAUCUUUAGUGCGUAUAAUGGUACAGCACUUCCUCUUCUGUCAAGUGAAAAAAGUAGCACAUUUCAACUGGUUCUAGAAUAUCACUGUCCUCUUUAAGCUGGUAGAUUUUUCACCUUCCCUUGAAAGGCUGGUCAGCUGCAGUGCCAAGCAUUUCUUUUCUGGUAUAGUUAGCUAUAAUGUUCUACUUCUGCCGUUAUAGAUCCACGGACAGAUAGAUCAGAUAGAUGUGUGGUGUUCAUGGGUACGUCUGAGAAAACCAGUGGUGGAAUAGCACAUUGGGCUUCAACAUAUAUCCUGCUUCCCUCGAGAUGUUGGUCUCAGCAGAUGGCACUGUAAUUAAACUUUUGCCACCAGAUAAACUUUUUUCCUUUGUACUUUACCAGGUGAUCAGUGCUAUUCCAAGAUACUGAGAAAGAUUUCACAUCAGGAGAUUAAGAAGAUUUGAUUGUUUCCCUUGACCUAAUAUCUUUGCAUCGUUUAGUGCACUGCAGAACGAAUGGACGGCUGCAUGAAAUACGUGCAGCAAAAGUUAAACUACAGCUUUGGAUGGAAAGGAAUGGUAGUAGCUGCUGUCCUGAAAGUCAUGGCUCUUAUUCAGAUGAAUGACCCUUUACUCCCUCAACAGAGGCUUCCCAGAUGUUGAAGCCUACAUGGUCUGAAACUAUCCAGUUUCCAACUUCUUUUCACUCUUAAGGAAGAUACUGGAAAGGUUUUGUGUUUUCUUUGGUGUGCAAGUUGUAGCUGGCCUUUUUGUCCACUCCCAACUGUUUUUUAAGGAAGAAGAUGAGGCAGAGGAUGUCUUUAAGUGAACUACCUGGAGCAGGCAUUCUGCUGUGAUACUGAGAUCGGUUUUAUAGCAGACCCCCACUUGUCUCAGAUCAGGUCCGUGUCCGUACCAACAGAGGUACCUCAGACCUGGCUGCUGCUCACACAUAUUUCUAAAAAGCAAAAGCUUUCACAAACGAUACAGAAACCUACCACAGCUCAAGGAGACGCUGCAGAACCACCUCUGUGAGAGACCUCUGUGGGCUCAUCUGCUGAACCCAUCAGGAAACAUCUCAGCCAGCUGCAAAUGGCAUUCCCCAGGCCUGCUGUGCUGUGCCAAAGGCUGCACAGUCUUUACCAAUUCUGAUUUCAGAUCUACCUUAAACUUGGAUUCUGCUUUUUGGGACAUGUCUGGUUUUGUGUUCCUUCAGCUCAGAGGGGUUACCCUGACAUCUGCAAGACCCAUUGUUUUGGGAUUUGCUGCCGUUCCCAGGGAGUCAUGCAGCAUCGCAGCAGCUAAGCUCCAGUCCCUUCCCCAGUCUCAGUAGGAUCAGUCCCUGUGCUGACAGAACUAACUCCACUGUGGUGCAGAAAGUGCCACUCCUUUAUUCCUUGCAACAUGCACCAGGUGACAUGACAAGCAAGCGCACCCUCUGAGUUCAGGAUCUACAUUUGAACAGUUCUGACAUGCAUAUUUUGUUGGCAUACAAAUCCAUUCUUUUUCAAGGACUCAGAUAUGUGCUAAUGUGCCUUUGGAUGCCCAGUGCUACCUAGGGUGGUCGGCUGCCCACCUAUUAUUUCCCAUUUCCCACCAUCAGCUUUACUAUGGGACUUCUGACCCACUGCCAUCCACUUUCCCCAUUUGGAAGAUUCCCAUUGAUUUUUAGGACACAGUGAGCCACUUUUCAACAACAGUGCAUGUUGAGCCUGAGGGAAAUGUCCUUGUACUGCUUGAGGCAAAAGAUAAAUUAUUCUAUUAUGUCCCCAGCACAAAAUUAUUGAGGAAAACAAGAUAUUUGCCCACUCAAGCUGAAAUGUAAAGGUUUCAGAACUAUCACUCGUGGAUUCCUUUAGCUAAACUAGUAUACAGGUUCUUAAACUAAUGGACUAAUCCUAUUGGUAAACAAACCAACUUAUAUCAGCAGAGAGUAGAACAAUUCAGAUGUUUGCUCUGUGAUCUCUUUUGUCUAAAGCUUCUUCUAUGGAGGUUGUGGCAUUAUGAACAGUAAUACAUUACCCUCUGGUUAGAUCUAACAUGCCACGUGCACUCUGCUAAGUCUUGAGUAACAGCACAUCAAGCAGUAACUGCUGUUGCAAUGCCACUUUCAGUACUUGCACCUCUUGUGAGUUUACCUCUUGUGAGUUUAACUCUUCAAAAGCAUGUCUCGUCUAAUUUGACAACAUGUGGACUUGCUAGGUAGUGUUUUCAAAGAUCUUUUGAUGUUUUGCCCAGACCAUAUCUAGAGCAAAUAUGUUCUCUCAUAUCAUAGAGAUUCUCUGUCCAGCGGUCAUCUCUGAACUGAACUAACACUCAAUUUGGGCAGAGUUUUUACAGAUUACUGUACCACACUGCAACUCUGCACGUUGCUCUAAGGUUAAAUACGAAUAGAAUUUUCCACUUGACCAUCUCCAAAGCAGUCCAAAUGGUUCAGAAUAAAAACUGAUUUGGCCAGUUCACAUAUUGAUACAGUCUACAGAAUUUUCAGAGAGCAGUGUGUAUAGGAUAGCCCACAAUAUAAACUACAAGAAGGGCAACCCCAGCACGUACACACCUCUUAUCGAAGCUUAGACGCUUUCCAUCAACCAUGUGUCUAAUGGAACUCAUGGACUGGUGUAGCAAUUAAUGACUCCAUGACACUACAUCACGUUGCAAAGGGCUUGAUGAUGGGUUUCUUCUGUGACCACACUUAAUGGAUAGUAGAUAGGUCCCUAGGUUCAUUUCCCAGUCUGUUAGGCAGUUGGAUAUACCACGGAGGAAUCACAUGCAAAUCAUCAUCAGGUUGAUAAAGGGAGUGAACGAAGGGGUCAAAAGGAAUGGUACCACAGUGCAAGGAGUGCUGGUGAGCCAGGAUGACCUGCAAAACCUGUUUGUGUUGACCCAAGUGUGAAGUUUAACAAAUCUGAGAACUGACAUCACCACCUACAACCACCCAAACAAAAUACUAUUAAGAAGCACACAGACCUAGCUCUGGGAAGCAAUCAACGGCAAAGCCAGCUGCCAAGGGUUAAUGCUUGGCAUGUGAAUUCCGAUGAAAUAAGAUAGGAGUCUGGGUUGGUUGGUAUUUUUGUUUGGUUGUUUUUUUCCUUUGUGUGUGAUUUCAUAAGUUUGUUUUUUAAAUAAUCCUCAUUUUAUUUAAAAAAUAAUUUAAGAAUUACCUCAAGCUUCAACUUUGUUAGGCAUGGCACUAUUGAACUUCCGACUCCAGAUAAGCUUAUUUUAGCAUUUUUAUUUCACAACUCCAUGAACAGCACAAUUCUAGUCUAAGAAUUAUUCCUUUUGCACUACUGUUGGGAAAAAAAAAAAAGAAAAAAAAAAAAAAAAAAGAAGAAAGAAAAUGCUUUAUCAGUAGAAAUUCCUCAAUUACAUUCCAAAAGGGAAUUUCAUAGUCAUUAAACAUUUGCUCAGAUCCUCUUGAUAUAUCUCAUAAAGAAGGAUCAUUGGGACCCAGCUCCAUUCUAGGUAUUUCCAUUAGUCUACUUGUGGCCCUGUUUUGCUUGCUCGUGACUCACACUCUGAAGAAUUUGCUUUUUCAAAGUGCCAUACUUGGGCUUCAGAGAUGCUCUGCUCAGGAAAACACAUUUCCAUUUCAAGAACAAACACUCUCAUCUUUUUAAGUUUAAUAAAAGCUUUAAAACCCAAUGAGAUGAGAAAAGCAAUGCAAACUGUAGCAACACAGUAACACCAGGGUGCAGAUUAUCUUCAAACAUCAAGAUUUCAUGGGCUCAUUUCUUGUUGACAGUACAAUGCUCAUACAUUUCUUAAAAUCUAACCAACCAGCUUUCCCUCGAUCCUGCAAAAAUGCAUGCACAGAUUGAUCUACAGCCUCAUUUCAUCUAAUGGAUAUUCUAAGGAAAACCAGGCCUUUAUUUUUAUCCAGUUGCGUGUCAGGGGGAUCAGAACACCUGCCUAUGGUAAAAUACCACACAACAUGCAGCGAUAAUGCCCAGCCUGUCUGCCACAGAGACUCUUGCAACCUUCUUCCCUGGUGGUCAAUUUGCAAAUACUCUGGACUGUUGCUGUAAAGAAACUGCAACAAAACCAGUGCAUCCUGAAACCAUCAGAUCUAUUGGGAACCAGCUGAGCUGGGACUUCUCCAGGAAAGGUGGUGGCCAGGAAACACCAGCAUCUGAGCAGCUAUUUCAUUUGGCCCAUGCUGCCUGCAUCUUGCCCAGAGGGCUCUCCAGCACGGAGCAGCAGGGAGUAGAAAGGAAGUUGAGUUGGUCAAAUUUCUUGAAAUGAUACCGUAGAAUAAAUACGUAUCAAACUUCUAAAUCUUGUUUUACUGACAAACUUUAUUAUCACUAGGCUGUCACGUGAAGAAAAACACCUUAGAUUAGCUUUCAAGUACUCACUGGCAUCAAAGUUGUUCCUCUUUAUGUAAAUCCUUUGAAGGUCCUGAGGCAAACACAGGAGCAAAAACAUAUAAAUAAGGGAACCAAGGCAGCUCAUGGAGUGGCACUGCAGACUGCUGCUCAGGCCAGCUCCCGUACACCCUUCCCAUGCAGCGCAGUGAGGCUUCUCACAAGGAGAUCAGCCUUCCAAAACGCACAGGAAAUCAACAGAACAGAAAGGUCAGCCACAAAAUUCAGCAGUUGCUGGAAGCAGAGUUGUCUUAUCUUUCACAAUUGCUUGAAAUGACAUACAUUGCUCUUCACACAUGUCAAGUGAUGGUGACUUACGAGGAAUACAGGAGCAUCAGCAAUCACACCCAGCCCAUGGUGUUGAGUGGAACAGCCAAGGGCAAAGCAGAGGCUGGGGCAGCGUGACAGCUCAUCCUUGAGGGGACUGAGGACUUCCCUCACAAUUUUCCACAAGUUAACUGCACAAAAAGGAGCAAACAAGUGAAGGAAGCCAAGCAGUAUUUUAUUGACUCCCACAAGACAGAUAUGGAUUGCAUACAACCCUGGAAAACUUCUUACUUUUUAAAAUCCUGGAAUUAUAAACGAGAGAACCCAUUCCUCAUAAAUAACCUGGCACCAUUCCUUCAUCAAAAGAUUGUGACAUGGAACAGAUUUCCUUUACAGUUUCAUUAAAAUUAUUCAUUUGAACAGCUUAAAAAACUAUGCCUAUAAUAAUACUUAAAUAUAUUGCUCAUAUUUGUGACUUAGUAAAAAAAAUAGUUUGAGCUAAUACUUUCCUAGUGUUCAAAAAAAUCCAAAGAGAGAUCAACGUCUCAUUGAGUAAUUCAGAAAGAUGGGUAAGUUAUUUGUUUGAAAUUAUAAACCUCAUUUAUCAACAGACUGAGUCCCUUAAAAAUGUGUGUCUCACUUAUUAAUGCUAAUGAUCCCACAAAAAUGCACACAGAGCAACCAGCUUUCCCUCAAUCCUGCAAAAUGUAUGCACAGAUUUAUUUACAGCCAUAAAGGCAUUUCUGCAACAUUCACAAGAUGGGACUGAUCUCAAUAGUAAAAGCUCAAGCAUUUGCAAAUUCUGACCAAAAAUCAUUUGAUUACUUUUAGCUUUAGAAUAAGUCAGUCUGAACCUCAGUGAGAUGACAAUGGCAAAGGCCCAGACUGCAUUCAGAAACUGUUGCCCUCCUGCUUCGUGGGGCUGGCAGAGGCCAUGAGAGCACUCCCCGUUGUAAUGCAGAAACAGACAGUACAGCUUAAGCUGCCAACAAAGCUGAAUCAACACAGCCUGUCUACUACAGCGCACAUUUGUUCCACUGGCACCUGGAAAACUUGGUAGCCUCUGGAAGCAUCAGUCUUUUCUGAAGGGAUCCGUGGACUUGCUUGCCUUCCUGCAGUGCUUGCUAUUAUCCAUACUACCAUCAAAAGCACACCAAUUGCGUUUCCACGCACCACUGCCAAGACACUAAUCCAGAGGCUGAAACUAACACACUAGUGAUUUAUCAGGCCUGACCUUUUUGAAGUUGAAAAUGGGUUCCUACUUGGGAACUAACAAAGCAGCAUGUCUCCUUGACGUUCAUAAUAGGCCAGAAGUGCUUUCUAAAAAGUCUCCAGUGGUCCAAGUAGUCGGUAACCCCCCAAGAGAUGCUUGGUCUGAGGUAUGGUAACUUCAGUGACAGCUUCAGAAGGCAAAGGCUUUAGCCAUAGGGCUGGCUGAAGAAUUCCUUUGCUCCACUUCACUUCCCCCACAAAUGUGCCAACACAACCCAAAGCUGCAUCUCUGACCCAGUGCAGUUCUCAAAACAACCCUUGACUUCAAAGUAUGGACCAGCCCAUGGAUCUGAUGUCCUGGGCAGCGCAGGCAAGAAGUGGGGAUUAGACACACUUGGCUUGGAUUUUGUGUCAGAAACUUCUGUGUCAAGGAACAUCUCCUUCACUGUUUGCAAAAGAAUGAUGAUCACCAAGGGGCUUUCCAAAAAGCAAGCAUGACACUUGAAAAGGUAUGAGCCACAGGAUGGGUUUGGACAUAGACUUUGGGAGCAGAUAACUGGUUUCAGACAUUCUCUAAUCCACACCUAAAUAUCAUAUACUAAAAAGAGUUUUUAAUAGUGCCUUUAGUACACCAGCUAAUCAAACAAAUCUCAAAAUAUUUUCUUUCUAUUUUACAUUUUUACAUAAAGCUGAAGUGUUUACAUCUUUAUGAAGAAGACCUAACUAAUUGUCAAAGCAAAUUAAACCACAUUUAAGAGCAACUUACCCAAUUAGUUUCAUGAAGACCAUCACACAUGUAAAGCCAAAAGGUAAUGAAAUCUUGAAAAGGACACAACAACUUGAAUGAAAACAGAAGAGAAGUUUUAACAACCUUUUUGUCCAUACAAGAGCUUUUCAUUUCUUUAAGAAGAGAACAAUUAAUGUUCACUGAGUGACUUUUUUUUGGCCAUUCAAGCUUAGUGACCUCAAAAUGAGCAAAUUUUCCUAAAUUGUCAUGUUGUAAUUAUUAUUGUAACUCUAAUGAGUUCAAAGGAUAUACAAAUCACCUACAUCUAAACAGAGUUCUGUACAUUAUAGACUAAACUGCAUAACUUACAAAUAAUCAUUUUGUUGUUUCCAGUUUACAAUGGUUUUAAAAAAAAAAAGACUUCACAAUGUGUGUAAAUGGGAGGUAAAUGUAUUUUUAAAA
This is a long non-coding RNA of Lagopus muta (rock ptarmigan), 12520 nucleotides long. RefSeq lists it as uncharacterized. NCBI's taxonomy places the organism in Eukaryota, Metazoa, Chordata, Aves, Galliformes, Phasianidae. The record is from RefSeq and is a predicted model, not a curated record. The transcript is spliced from 8 exons.